UGUACAAGAUACACUCCACCCAUCCAAUGGGUGGAAUGAUUUCGCUAGUCACUUAAAGUGACUAGCGAUUUACUCUCAUCAAUUAGAUAGAUGGGAUAUAAGAUAUGCUGUAUAUAUAGAGAGAAAUGAUUUGGUAUUUUAUUAUUAAAAAAAUAAGAUAGAUCUUAACCGUUGAUUAAUAGAGAAUAAAGAUGUAAUUUUAAUAUUUAGCAGGUAAAUGGGUUACAUCAUUCGAAAUUAUUUCGGUAAUUAAACUAUACAACAUUUAAAGAAACUUUUAAUUGAUAUCCUAAAUUUAUAAAUUAAUUUGCACUAAUUUAGGAAAUUGAUUGAUUACCCUAAUUUAGGCAUUAAUUAGGCAUUAAUUUACGAAUUUAGUUUAGAAAUUUACGAAUUUAGUUUAAACAUAAAAAUUAAAAAGAUUAGGACUACUAUUCAGAAAAAAAAAAAUGUUAGAAAUUUGAAUUCGAACCCGAUUAACGAUCACAAAAUCUAUUUCCGAACUCGACGGAUUUUAAAAAUCCAUAUCUAAACCCGAAACUAACCAAUUUUUCGAAACCCAAAACCAAAUCCAAACCGGAAGACUGGAAUCCGAAACAAUUAUUUUUUUUACCAUAUUUCAAAAUAUUUUAUAUUAAAUUUACAUUUUUAAAAUAUAAAUUCGAAUAUAAUAUUAAACUUUAUAUAUGAUUCGGGUUGGAUUCAAGAUGGAUAUAGAAAAAAAUUCAUAGUUGGUUCACAAAAUAAUCUCAUGUUCUUGUUGUCAAAUAAUUUGAAAAUU
RNAcentral lists this long non-coding RNA (781 nucleotides) under Ananas comosus (pineapple). Its description in RNAcentral is "long non-coding RNA (ACOM_LNC022786)". The record is from RNAcentral. Lineage: Eukaryota; Viridiplantae; Streptophyta; Magnoliopsida; Poales; Bromeliaceae.